GAUUAACGCUGGCGGCAUGCCUAAUACAUGCAAGUCGAACGGAAGCAGCAAUGCUUUAGUGGCGAACGGGUGAGUAACACGUAGGGAACCUACCUAUACGACGAGGAUAACUACUGGAAACGGUAGCUAAAACUGGAUAGGAUCAAUUGAGGCAUCUUGAUUGAUUUAAAGAUCCUUCGGGAUUACGUAGAGAUGGCCCUGCGGCGCAUUAGCUAGUUGGUGAGGUAACGGCCCACCAAGGCGACGAUGCGUAGCUGAGCUGAGAGGCUAAACAGCCACACUGGGACUGAGACACGGCCCAGACUCCUACGGGAGGCAGCAGUAGGGAAUUUUCGGCAAUGGGGGAAACCCUGACCGAGCAAUGCCGCGUGAACGAUGAAGGUCUUCGGAUUGUAAAGUUCUGUGAUUGGGGAAGAAUGGUAUUCUUAGGGAAUGAGGAGUACAUGACGGUACCCGAUUAGAAAGCCCCGGCUAACUAUGUGCCAGCAGCCGCGGUUAA
This 499-nucleotide ribosomal RNA is filed under the name uncultured bacterium. Its description in RNAcentral is "bacterial SSU rRNA". It matches the Rfam family "Bacterial small subunit ribosomal RNA", at positions 28 to 524 of the family's 1533-position model. The record is from RNAcentral.